Molecule: ribosomal RNA, 458 nt
Filed under: uncultured bacterium
Lineage: Bacteria
Description: bacterial SSU rRNA
Rfam family: Bacterial small subunit ribosomal RNA
Source: RNAcentral
UACGGAGGCAGCAGUGGGGAAUAUUGCACAAUGGGCGCAAGCCUGAUGCAGCCAUGCCGCGUGUAUGAAGAAGGCUUCGGGUUGUAAAGUACUUUCAGCAGUGAGGAAGGUGGAUAUGUUAAUAGCAUAUUCAUUUGACGUUAGCUGCAGAAGAAGCACCGGCUAACUCCGUGCCAGCAGCCGCGGUAAUACGGAGGGUGCGAGCGUUAAUCGGAAUUACUGGGCGUAAAGCGCAUGCAGGUGGUUUGUUAAGUCAGAUGUGAAAGCCCGGGGCUCAACCUCGGAAUUGCAUUUGAAACUGGCAAACUAGAGUACUGUAGAGGGGGUAGAAUUUCAGGUGUAGCGGUGAAAUGCGUAGAGAUCUGAAGGAAUACCGGUGGCGAAGGCGGCCCCCUGGACAGAUACUGACACUCAGAUGCGAAAGCGUGGGGAGCAAACAGGAUUAUAUACCCUGGUAG